RNAcentral lists this small RNA (426 nucleotides) under Pan troglodytes (chimpanzee). RNAcentral describes it as "processed transcript". The record is from RNAcentral. Lineage: Eukaryota; Metazoa; Chordata; Mammalia; Primates; Hominidae.
CUGAAACAUUUUUAUUGCUAAAUAAUAGAUGGAUAUAUUUUGGGAUACAUGUGAAAUUUUGAUAUGUUCAUAUAACAUAUAAUAAAUCAGGGUAAUUGGAAUGUUCAUCACUAUAAACAUUUAUCUUAUAUGCUGGGAACAUUUGAAUUAUUCUCUACUAGCUGUUUUGAAAUACACAGUAGAUGAAUUUUAUUAGCAUAUUAUGAACUGCUAACUUUUCUUUCCUUAUCCUUGGAUACUGUUCUAGAAUUUUCUGAAAAAAUUGGAACAAUCUUUUAUGUGCGUUUGCUGUCAGGAGCUAGUUUACCAGCCUGUGACAACUGAGUGCUUCCACAAUGUCUGUAAAGAUUGCCUACAGCGCUCUUUUAAGGCACAGGUUUUCUCCUGCCCUGCUUGCCGGCAUGAUCUUGGCCAGAAUUACAUCAU